This 613-nucleotide ribosomal RNA is filed under the name Pseudomonas aeruginosa. Its description in RNAcentral is "partial 23S ribosomal RNA". It matches the Rfam family "Bacterial large subunit ribosomal RNA", at positions 2318 to 2925 of the family's 2925-position model. Lineage: Bacteria; Pseudomonadati; Pseudomonadota; Gammaproteobacteria; Pseudomonadales; Pseudomonadaceae. The record is from RNAcentral.
GCGCUCAGACCGGUCGGAAAUCGGUCGUAGAGUAUAAAGGCAAAAGCGCGCUUGACUGCGAGACAGACACGUCGAGCAGGUACGAAAGUAGGUCUUAGUGAUCCGGUGGUUCUGUAUGGAAGGGCCAUCGCUCAACGGAUAAAAGGUACUCCGGGGAUAACAGGCUGAUACCGCCCAAGAGUUCAUAUCGACGGCGGUGUUUGGCACCUCGAUGUCGGCUCAUCACAUCCUGGGGCUGAAGCCGGUCCCAAGGGUAUGGCUGUUCGCCAUUUAAAGUGGUACGCGAGCUGGGUUUAGAACGUCGUGAGACAGUUCGGUCCCUAUCUGCCGUGGACGUUUGAGAUUUGAGAGGGGCUGCUCCUAGUACGAGAGGACCGGAGUGGACGAACCUCUGGUGUUCCGGUUGUCACGCCAGUGGCAUUGCCGGGUAGCUAUGUUCGGAAAAGAUAACCGCUGAAAGCAUCUAAGCGGGAAACUUGCCUCAAGAUGAGAUCUCACUGGGAACUUGAUUCCCCUGAAGGGCCGUCGAAGACUACGACGUUGAUAGGCUGGGUGUGUAAGCGUUGUGAGGCGUUGAGCUAACCAGUACUAAUUGCCCGUGAGGCUUGACCAU